AUACGAAGGGUGCAAGCGUUACUCGGAAUUACUGGGCGUAAAGCGUGCGUAGGUGGUUGUUUAAGUCUGUCGUGAAAGCCCUGGGCUCAACCUGGGAAUGGCGAUGGAAACUGGGCGACUAGAGUGUGGCAGAGGGUAGUGGAAUUCCUGGUGUAGCAGUGAAAUGCGUAGAGAUCAGGAGGAACAUCCGUGGCGAAGGCAACUGCCUGGGCCAACACUGACACUGAGGCACGAAAGCGUGGGGAGCAAACAGGAUUAGAUACCCUGGUAGUCCACGCCCUAAACGAUGCGAACUGGAUGUUGGGUGCAAUUUGGCACGCAGUAUCGAAGCUAACGCGUUAAGUUCGCCGCCUGGGGAGUACGGUCGCAAGAAUGAAACUCAAAGGAAUUGACGGGG
This 397-nucleotide ribosomal RNA is filed under the name uncultured bacterium. RNAcentral describes it as "partial 16S ribosomal RNA". It matches the Rfam family "Bacterial small subunit ribosomal RNA", at positions 523 to 918 of the family's 1533-position model. The record is from RNAcentral.